RNAcentral lists this ribosomal RNA (251 nucleotides) under uncultured prokaryote. RNAcentral describes it as "partial 16S rRNA". It matches the Rfam family "Bacterial small subunit ribosomal RNA", at positions 525 to 775 of the family's 1533-position model. The record is from RNAcentral.
ACGGAGGAUGCAAGCGUUGUUCGGAAUUAUUGGGCGUAAAGGGCGUGUAGGCGGUUAGCUAAGUCAGAUGUGAAAUCCCUAGGCUUAACCUUGGAAUUGCAUUUGAAACGGGUUUUCUUGAGUGCGGGAGAGGAAAAUAGAAUUCCUGGUGUAGCGGUGAAAUUCGUAGAUAUUGGGAAGAACACCAGUGGCGAAGGCGAUGCUCUGGUCCGUCUCUGACGCUGAGGAGCGAAAGUGUGGGUAGCGAACGG